Sapajus apella (tufted capuchin) is the source of this 478-nucleotide RNA transcript. It is a transcript of the gene named NADH dehydrogenase [ubiquinone] 1 beta subcomplex subunit 3 pseudogene, with no coding region annotated. The record is from RefSeq and is a predicted model, not a curated record. The transcript is spliced from 2 exons. Lineage: Eukaryota; Metazoa; Chordata; Mammalia; Primates; Cebidae.
CAAGCGAUUCUCCUGCCUCAGCCUCCUGAGUAGCUGGGAUUACAGACAUGGCACAUGGACAUGGACAUGAACAUGGACAUGGUAAAAUGGAACUUCCAGAUUAUAGACAAUGGAAGAUAGAAGGGACACCAUUAGAAACUGUCCAGAAGAGGCUGGCUGCAAAAGGGCUAAGGGAUCCAUGGGGCCGCAAUGAAGCUUGGAGAUACAUGGGUGGCUUUGCACAAAAGGUUACCUUUUUUGAUGUAUUCUUUAAAGGAUUCAAAUGGGGAUUUGCUGCAUUUGUGGUAGCUUUAGGAGCUGAAUAUUACCUGGAGUCCCUGAAUAAAGAUAAGAAGCAUCACUGAAGAUAAUACCUGGAAGUAUCAUAGUGGUUUCUUAACUGUCCAAAAUAAGAUUUCUUCACUAUAGCCUACUUGACCUGUUUGUCCCUUAAAGAAUAUUAGUAUGAUUUAAUAAAGUAAAAUAAAAUAUAUAUAUG